This is a small nucleolar RNA of Talpa occidentalis (Iberian mole), 101 nucleotides long. RefSeq annotates it as small nucleolar RNA U13. The record is from RefSeq and is a predicted model, not a curated record. NCBI's taxonomy places the organism in Eukaryota, Metazoa, Chordata, Mammalia, Eulipotyphla, Talpidae. The transcript has a single exon.
AUCUUCUGUAGAUCAUAAAUGUUAUGAUUAAAUGUCCACACCAUUGUGUGAGAUGUGUCUCCCUCAAGUCUUAUUACAGUUAGCACACUACCUGUUUGAUG